This 488-nucleotide ribosomal RNA is filed under the name uncultured bacterium. RNAcentral describes it as "bacterial SSU rRNA". It matches the Rfam family "Bacterial small subunit ribosomal RNA", at positions 28 to 507 of the family's 1533-position model. The record is from RNAcentral.
GAUGAACGCUAGCGGCAGGCUUAACACAUGCAAGUCGAGGGGCAGCAUAAUGGAUAGCAAUAUCUAUGGUGGCGACCGGCGCACGGGUGCGUAACGCGUAUGCAACCUACCUUUAACAGGGGGAUAACACUGAGAAAUUGGUACUAAUACCCCAUAAUAUCAUAGAAGGCAUCUUUUAUGGUUGAAAAUUCCGAUGGUUAGAGAUGGGCAUGCGUUGUAUUAGCUAGUUGGUGGGGUAACGGCUCACCAAGGCGACGAUACAUAGGGGGACUGAGAGGUUAACCCCCCACACUGGUACUGAGACACGGACCAGACUCCUACGGGAGGCAGCAGUGAGGAAUAUUGGUCAAUGGACGCAAGUCUGAACCAGCCAUGCCGCGUGCAGGAUGACGGCUCUAUGAGUUGUAAACUGCUUUUGUACUAGGGUAAACUCACCUACGUGUAGGUGACUGAAAGUAUAGUACGAAUAAGGAUCGGCUAACUCCGUG